AACGAACGCUGGCGGCGUGCUUAACACAUGCAAGUCGAACGGAUCAAGGGGCUUGCUCCUUGAUUAGUGGCGCACGGGUGAGUAACGCGUGGAUAAUCUGCCCGACGAUCUGGGAUAACAUCUCGAAAGGGGUGCUAAUACCGGAUAAGCCCACGGGGUCUUCGGAUCUUGCGGGAAAAGAGGGGGACCUUCGGGCCUCUUGUCGUCGGAUGAGUCCGCGUACCAUUAGCUAGUUGGCGGGGUAAAGGCCCACCAAGGCUACGAUGGUUAGCUGGUCUGAGAGGAUGAUCAGCCACACUGGAACUGAGACACGGUCCAGACUCCUACGGGAGGCAGCAGUGGGGAAUUUUGCGCAAUGGGGGAAACCCUGACGCAGCAACGCCGCGUGAGUGAUGAAGGCCUUCGGGUCGUAAAGCUCUGUCUAGAGGAAAGAAGUGUGGGGUGGCUAAUAUCCACUUCACUUGACGGUACCUCUGAAGGAAGCACCGGCUAACUCCGUGCCAGCAGCCGCGGUAAUACGGAGGGUGCGAGCGUUGUUCGGAUUUAUUGGGCGUAAAGCGCGUGUAGGCGGUUUCUUAAGUCUGAUGUGAAAGCCCCGGGCUCAACCUGGGAAGUGCAUUGGAUACUGGGAGACUUGAAUACGGGAGAGGGUAGUGGAAUUCCUAGUGUAGGAGUGAAAUCCGUAGAUAUUAGGAGGAACACCGGUGGCGAAGGCGGCUACCUGGACCGAUAUUGACGCUGAGACGCGAAAGCGUGGGUAGCAAACAGGAUUAGAUACCCUGGUAGUCCACGCCGUAAACGAUGAGAACUAGGUGUUGCGGGUAUUGACCCCUGCAGUGCCGCAGCUAACGCAUUAAGUUCUCCGCCUGGGAAGUACGGUCGCAAGACUA
RNAcentral lists this ribosomal RNA (890 nucleotides) under uncultured bacterium. RNAcentral's name for it is "bacterial SSU rRNA". It matches the Rfam family "Bacterial small subunit ribosomal RNA", at positions 28 to 896 of the family's 1533-position model. The record is from RNAcentral.